This 93-nucleotide transfer RNA is filed under the name Alphaproteobacteria bacterium. RNAcentral describes it as "tRNA-Ser". It matches the Rfam family "tRNA". Rfam says of the family: Transfer RNA (tRNA) molecules are approximately 80 nucleotides in length. Their secondary structure includes four short double-helical elements and three loops (D, anti-codon, and T loops). The record is from RNAcentral. Lineage: Bacteria; Pseudomonadati; Pseudomonadota; Alphaproteobacteria.
GGAGACGUGGCCGAGUGGCUGAAGGCGCUCCCUUGCUAAGGGAGUAUAGUGUUUAUAGCUCUAUCGAGGGUUCGAAUCCCUCCGUCUCCUCCA